Molecule: long non-coding RNA, 886 nt
Organism: Oncorhynchus gorbuscha (pink salmon)
Lineage: Eukaryota; Metazoa; Chordata; Actinopteri; Salmoniformes; Salmonidae
Exons: 3
Source: RefSeq, a predicted model, not a curated record
CGGUAGCAGAAGGUGAACGUUGAACUGUUGUUGUAAACAUAUCCAGCCGACGCUGCGUACCGUUUUGCGCGUGUACACCUAGAUCACACCGACAGUUUUACAUUAACCUUCCGCUACCAUUUCUGUCAAGCCGUUCACGCACACAGUUUGAUAAAUCCAAGAUAUGCACCACCAACAAACGCCGCGUGCCAUUGGAAAUGAAUGGUGUACCGAAAUGCUUCACGCUAUCGGUGAGACAUAGGCAUUUUUAGCAAGCAUGCACAUGUAACGUAUGAGUGAUCACGGGGACCGAACCCACCAUCCUCGCGUUGCAAUGGCAAUGCUCUACCAACAGAGCUACAGAGGACCAUUCACGUCUAGAAGAGGGCGUUGCUGUUCUGCCUCGACAGGAUGCUUGCAGGAGCCCAUUUCUAGCUAAACAAGAGGUGCUACUUUGGUUAGAAGAGUGGCGAUUUUUCGACAAAAAACAACAAAAAUACGAUGAGCGGUUGUCAUGUGAUCGAAUUCGUGUGACGUCACGUGGCAGGAAGGACAUUUCCGCGUCCACGCGGGCUCCACUAGAGGGCACAUUCACUGCAAACAUCGGACUGUAAUAUGUAUUAUAGUAAUGGACUACCGUGCACUGACCUGUCGCUGCAGUAACUAAAUAUGGAGCUCAUUUCUAAUGUACAGGAGGUAGAUAACAUGUUAUAAAUACAUGAAAAUGGACCGAUCUUGAUGUUUCUCAAACUGAUCAAUUGUCCCGAAUAGAAUGAUUAAAUCCUAUAACUAAGUUGCAAACGGAUCAGACGGGUAGAUCUUCAGGCACUGUCAGUGCAGGGCAUUCUUCCGAGCAUGAUGCUUCCCUGUAGACAUGACUCUUCCCUGUAGGCACGAUGCUUCCCUG